RNAcentral lists this transfer RNA (37 nucleotides) under Boana albopunctata (spotted treefrog). RNAcentral describes it as "partial tRNA-Tyr". Lineage: Eukaryota; Metazoa; Chordata; Amphibia; Anura; Hylidae. The record is from RNAcentral.
UGAUAAGAAGAGGACUUAAACCUCUGUUAAUGGGGCU